This 788-nucleotide ribosomal RNA is filed under the name uncultured Alphaproteobacteria bacterium. Its description in RNAcentral is "bacterial SSU rRNA". It matches the Rfam family "Bacterial small subunit ribosomal RNA", at positions 61 to 896 of the family's 1533-position model. Lineage: Bacteria; Pseudomonadati; Pseudomonadota; Alphaproteobacteria. The record is from RNAcentral.
GUCGAACGGAUCCUUCGGGAUUAGUGGCGGACGGGUGAGUAACACGUGGGAACGUGCCCUUUGGUUCGGAACAACUCAGGGAAACUUGAGCUAAUACCGGAUGUGCCCUUCGGGGGAAAGAUUUAUCGCCAUUGGAGCGGCCCGCGUCUGAUUAGCUAGUUGGUGAGGUAAAGGCUCACCAAGGCUACGAUCAGUAGCUGGUCUGAGAGGAUGAUCAGCCACACUGGGACUGAGACACGGCCCAGACUCCUACGGGAGGCAGCAGUAGGGAAUCUUGCGCAAUGGGCGAAAGCCUGACGCAGCCAUGCCGCGUGAAUGAUGAAGGUCUUAGGAUUGUAAAAUUCUUUCAGCGGGGACGAUAAUGACGGUACCCGCAGAAGAAGCCCCGGCUAACUUCGUGCCAGCAGCCGCGGUAAUACGAAGGGGGCUAGCGUUGCUCGGAAUUACUGGGCGUAAAGGGCGCGUAGGCGGAUGUUUAAGUCAGAGGUGAAAGCCCAGGGCUCAACCUUGGAACUGCCUUUGAUACUGGACAUCUUGAGUAUGGGAGAGGUGAGUGGAACUCCGAGUGUAGAGGUGAAAUUCGUAGAUAUUCGGAAGAACACCAGUGGCGAAGGCGACUCACUGGCCCAUUACUGACGCUGAGGCGCGAAAGCGUGGGGAGCAAACAGGAUUAGAUACCCUGGUAGUCCACGCUGUAAACGAUGAGUGCUAGUUGUCGGCAUGCAUGCAUGUCGGUGACGCAGUUAACGCAUUAAGCACUCCGCCUGGGGAGUACGGUCGCAAGAUUA